This is a non-coding RNA of Paramormyrops kingsleyae, 582 nucleotides long. NCBI's taxonomy places the organism in Eukaryota, Metazoa, Chordata, Actinopteri, Osteoglossiformes, Mormyridae. The record is from RefSeq and is a predicted model, not a curated record.
CCAACAGUUGUCACUUUCUCACCAAGCUGCUUGCUGAUGGUCAUGUAGCCCAUUCCACCUUUAUCAAGGUCAACAAUCUUGUCUCUGACAUCCUUAGACGGCUCUCUGGUGUCUCUCAUGGUGAUAAGAUUGAAGAUCUAGAAAGUGCUCUCUGGUGUCAAAGCUUCCCUACAACGGUGGGAGUCAUGACUGUGGCUGAGGGAUUCAUUCUCAUUGGCUGCCUGCUGCAAGGGGUUCUGUGCAGUACCUGGUCAGCCUGGAUGCCUCAGAACAUACAAGCUCUGCAUGGAUCCUGUGUGCUGAUUCCCUGCACAUUCCAGAUUCCAUCUAAACAGGAAAACAAUCUGAAAGCCCCAGUCGGAAUGUGGUGGUCAAACAGAUUGACAACAGAUAAGAAAAUUGUGUUUUUCUCCAAUAAAACAGAGAAUGACAUUCAGGGAAAUAUAACUGGGAAUUUACUUAAGAAAAACUGCACCACAGUCCUGAACAAUAUUCUGAUGAAAUGGGCUGGUAAUUUUUCCUUUAGGAUUGAAGCCAACAAUUCUCUUAAGUAUAAUUUUGAUGAAACGGUGAAAAUUGAUG